RNAcentral lists this ribosomal RNA (447 nucleotides) under uncultured bacterium. RNAcentral describes it as "SSU rRNA". It matches the Rfam family "Bacterial small subunit ribosomal RNA", at positions 26 to 518 of the family's 1533-position model. The record is from RNAcentral.
AGAGCGAACGCUGGCGGCAGGCCUAACACAUGCAAGUCGAGCGCCCGUAGCAAUACGGGAGCGGCAGACGGGAUAGUAACACGUGGGAACGCGCCCUUCGGUUCGGAAUAACUCAGGGGAAACUUGAGCUAAUACCGAAUACGCCCUUACGGGGAAAGAUUUAUUGCCGAAGGAACGGCCCGCGUCCGAUUAGCUAGUUGGUGAGGUAAUGGCUCACCAAGGCUACGAUCGGUAGCUGGUCUGAGAGGAUGACCAGCAUCACUGGGACUGAGACACGGCCCAGACUCCUACGGGAGGCAGCAGUGGGGAAUAUUGGACAAUGGGCGCAAGCCUGAUCCAGCCAUGCCGCGUGGAUGAUGAAGGCCUUAGGGUUGUAAAGUCCUUUUAACGGGAAGAUAAUGACGGUACCCGUAGAAUAAGCCCGGCUAACUUCGUGCCAGCAGCCGC